AUACAGGUUACAUACAUACAGGUUACAUACAUACAGGUUACAUACAUACAGGUUACAUACAUACAGGUUACAUACAGGUUACAUACAUACAGGUUACAUACAUACAGGUUACAUACAUACAGGUUACAUACAUACAGGUUACAUACAUACAGGUUACAUACAGGUUACAUACAUACAGGUUACAUACAUACAGGUUACAUACAUACAUGUUACAUACAUACAUGUUACAUACAUACAUGUUACAUACAUACAGGUUACAUACAUACAGGUUACAUACAUACAGGUUACAUACAUACAGG
This is a long non-coding RNA of Oncorhynchus tshawytscha (Chinook salmon), 299 nucleotides long. The record is from Ensembl. Lineage: Eukaryota; Metazoa; Chordata; Actinopteri; Salmoniformes; Salmonidae.